Molecule: ribosomal RNA, 215 nt
Filed under: uncultured fungus
Lineage: Eukaryota; Fungi
Description: partial small subunit ribosomal RNA
Rfam family: Eukaryotic small subunit ribosomal RNA (bases 92-215)
Source: RNAcentral
GCGCGGCUGACCGGUCCGCCUCACGGCGUGUACUGGUCUCGGCCGUGCUUUCCUCUUGGGCCGCCCGAGAGCGCUUUACCGUGCGCUCGGGAUGGCCCAGGACUUUUACUUUGAAAAAAUUAGAGUGUUCAAAGCAGGCAUUUGCUCGGAUACAUUAGCAUGGAAUAAUAGAAUAGGACGUCGAUCCUAUUUUGUUGGUUUCUAGGACCGCCGUA